AUUGGAUACAUAUUUCAGAUUGUUUCUAUAGCUAAGCCAUGCGAAUCUGCCAUGGAAUUACUUUGAAUUGUCGAUUCAUGUUUUCCUUUUUUCUUCUACCUCUUAAUUGUAUUGUUUGAGCCUUUCUUUCAAAUUAUCUAUUUCUCAUCUUCCGACAUAAAUAUAUAAUAUGUAAACGAAGAAACUCGUAUUUACACAACAUACUCGCAUCACUCGAUAAUUUGUCCUUCGCGUGAACUCGUCGUUACAAUAUUUACUCACCAAAAUAAAGACAUUAUUUUCGCACUAUCGUUUGAUCGACAUUCUGCGUUCGACAGCUCAUCAUGCGCGUCGCGUGGUAAUCGCGUCGCGCCGAUCCAGGAUCGAGAACGUUCAACGAAGGAUCAUUCCAACGUAGAAAUUGUUAUAUCGAUGAACUGAGUUUUGACGCUUAAAGCUUUGUAGGUUCCCACGAAACUCAGGAUUUCUAUAAAUAUCGGCGCCUUGAAUACCGCCCGCCAUAACGUCUACUCUCUAGCGCUAUCUGUAUUACUCGCUACCCGAGAUAAUUGACUAACCUCAAACGCGGGAGAUUCAAAAAUACUUGAAGUUUAUAGAAUUUAAGCAAAUACCCGGAAAUGAAGUAAAUUUUACAAUUGUUAACCAUAUUACAAAAUAUGCGUUUAUAAGUAAAUUCAAGCAUGGAUAUCAAUAGGUAAGUAGUAAAUUUUAUUACUCGUUGUGAAAUUAUUUGAGAAUUGUCGUUCAUAAUCGAAGAGGACAGCAAUGCGUUCUUCGUUUGUCUCCAUGCAGAGACAAGUUAAAAGUUACAAAAGCCAAAAACUUAAAACUUUUUCUUUUAGUGUUAAUACUGCUCCUUUUGCUUGUUUCGCUAAUAGCACUUCUUUUAAAACAUAGAAUAUAUGAAAGAUACACACGAAUCUGUCUUUUACCGCCCGAUUAAGAUUUUAUUUACAUUUAAGAUAAAAUAGGUACUAUAACUGUAAUAAGAAUACAUUACUAUCCGUACAAUCUUUCAAUGAAUUAUCUUACGAUCACACUCGUAUGUUACAUAAUAGAGUAUAAUUAUUAAUUAUACAUCUUAU
Vespula pensylvanica (western yellowjacket) is the source of this 1085-nucleotide long non-coding RNA. RefSeq lists it as uncharacterized. The record is from RefSeq and is a predicted model, not a curated record. The transcript is spliced from 2 exons. NCBI's taxonomy places the organism in Eukaryota, Metazoa, Arthropoda, Insecta, Hymenoptera, Vespidae.